AACACGUGGGUUAUCUGCCCCAAAGUGGGGAACAACUGCCCGAAAGGGCAGCUAAUUCCGCAUGUGGUGCGACGCAAGUCGCAAGAAAGAGACUUUGUCUCGCUUUGGGAUGAGCCCGCGGCCGAUUAGCUAGUUGGUGAGGUAAUGGCUCACCAAGGCAACGAUCGGUAGCUGGUCUGAGAGGACGAUCAGCCACACUGGGACUGAGACACGGCCCAG
RNAcentral lists this ribosomal RNA (219 nucleotides) under uncultured bacterium. Its description in RNAcentral is "partial 16S ribosomal RNA". It matches the Rfam family "Bacterial small subunit ribosomal RNA", at positions 112 to 334 of the family's 1533-position model. The record is from RNAcentral.